This 606-nucleotide ribosomal RNA is filed under the name Triticum aestivum (bread wheat). Its description in RNAcentral is "partial small subunit ribosomal RNA". Lineage: Eukaryota; Viridiplantae; Streptophyta; Magnoliopsida; Poales; Poaceae. The record is from RNAcentral.
AUGCGUCGUUUGGAGAAGCUUGUGCUCGGUAAAUGCAGACUUAGGCAUUUUCCUCCAGGCCUUGCCUCCCAUGCAAGCUCUUUGAAAAUAUUAUAUCUACAAGAUGUCAAGCACCUUAGCUACAUUGAGGGCAUUCCUUCUGUUGUUGAGCUUACAGUGCAUGGAUGCCCUGACCUGGACAUGAUCACCAAUCUCCCCAAUCUUCAGAAGCUUAUCAUCAUGAACUGCGCAAAGUUGAAGGUGCUGGAGUGUAUCGCUUCACUCGAGAGGCUGGUCCUGGAGGAUUACUCCAUGGAAAAACUCCCGGAAUACAUGCGAGAUUUAAAGCCAAGGAAUUUGCAGUUAUUCUGCAGGCUAUGGCUGCUCUCUGCGGUAGCCGCAGGACAAUCUGCAGAAAAUAUGGCACUGAGUGGGACAAGUUCAGCCAAGUGGAGCAUGUCAAGGCAUAUGCACGUGACGGAGACAACCAAAGAAAAUGGUACGUUUUGUACACCAGAGGAGACAACUGCAAGUUGGAUUCAAAUAUCAGCAGCUCUAGCAUAUUUGAAGAAACCUUAUCAUCUUCUAUGGUGGAUGCACAAGGAUUUGAGUCUAUGUAUAAAAUGA